Molecule: long non-coding RNA, 439 nt
Organism: Ictalurus punctatus (channel catfish)
Lineage: Eukaryota; Metazoa; Chordata; Actinopteri; Siluriformes; Ictaluridae
Source: Ensembl
CUCGGUGUCAGUUCUACCCAGAGAGAGACAACACAAAUCUAAAACUCUCUCCAUCAUGUCAGCUCUCAGUCACUGGUUCUGAACUGAUCAGGUGGACAGGACGAAGUUCUCCUGGAACACUUCAUAUUACUUGUUUCUACACUGUGGAUAACUCUGUUCGUACUCCUUCUCCUCACUCUCUCCCAGCUCCAGUCACAGUGCUGAAUCAGAAACCGAGACUAAGCGUCAGUCAUGAUGGUCAGUUUGAUGUAUUCAGAUUUGUGUGUGAAAUAUCAGGGUCAGAGUCAGUAACUGCUGAUUUUAGCUGUAAUCUCUACACUGGAGAAAAUCCUCAGCUUUUCCUAAUCCAAAGAUCUCAAAAGAGAAAAUCUGUGAAGGUUUGUAGUUUUACAGCACAGAGAGACGCUGUGUUUAAUCGUCUGCAGUCAGUAAAGAGUCG